GUUUUACCUGGUUGUCAACGCCUGAUCUCGUCAGAUUUUGGAAGUUAAGCAGGUUUGGGUCCGGUUAGUCCUCGGAAAUGGAGACCGCCGGGAAAACC
RNAcentral lists this ribosomal RNA (98 nucleotides) under Periophthalmus magnuspinnatus. The record is from RNAcentral. Lineage: Eukaryota; Metazoa; Chordata; Actinopteri; Gobiiformes; Gobiidae.